This 359-nucleotide long non-coding RNA is filed under the name Homo sapiens (human). RNAcentral describes it as "non-protein coding lnc-WNT4-5:1". Lineage: Eukaryota; Metazoa; Chordata; Mammalia; Primates; Hominidae. The record is from RNAcentral.
UGAGCCUGGGAAGUCAAGACCACUGCACUCGAGCUUGGGUAACAGGAAUGAGAUCCUGUCUCAAAAUAAAUAAAUAAAUAAAGAAAGAACGAACAAACAGGAGUAGGCUGGCAAAGAUUCAGGGAGGGGCAUUCCAGGCUGAGGGAAAAUGUCCAAUUGUCUAAUACAUGCGUAGCAGUGGGUGGAAAGAGAAUGCUUAGCAAAAGAGUCAAGUCAUUGUCAAGCGCAUUGUACUGAGCUGUCUAGGGAAACUGACCCCACGUGAUGCUCUGGGAGGACCAGCUGCACUUGAAUUCUGCAGCCACCACCAUCACUACCACAGUCGACUCCUCGUGGCCCCCACACCCACUGGAGCUGGC